This 75-nucleotide transfer RNA is filed under the name Candidatus Niyogibacteria bacterium CG10_big_fil_rev_8_21_14_0_10_46_36. RNAcentral describes it as "tRNA-Glu". It matches the Rfam family "tRNA". Rfam says of the family: Transfer RNA (tRNA) molecules are approximately 80 nucleotides in length. The record is from RNAcentral. Lineage: Bacteria; Candidatus Niyogiibacteriota.
GGUCCCAUCGUCUAGGCUGGUCUAGGACGCUAGGUUUUCAUCCUAGAAACCCGGGUUCAAAUCCCGGUGGGACCG